UGCGUAGGCGGUAAUUUAAGUCAGAUGUGAAAUCCCCGGGCUUAACUCGGGUGUUGCAUUUGAAACUGGGUUACUAGAGUGCAGGAGAGGGAAGCGGAAUUCCUAGUGUAGCGGUGAAAUGCGUAGAUAUUAGGAGGAACACCAGUGGCGAAGGCGGCUUUCUGGACUGUAACUGACGCUGAGGCACGAAAGCGUGGGGAGCAAACA
RNAcentral lists this ribosomal RNA (207 nucleotides) under uncultured Eubacteriales bacterium. RNAcentral's name for it is "uncultured Clostridiales bacterium partial 16S ribosomal RNA". It matches the Rfam family "Bacterial small subunit ribosomal RNA", at positions 568 to 774 of the family's 1533-position model. The record is from RNAcentral. Lineage: Bacteria; Bacillati; Bacillota; Clostridia; Eubacteriales.